GUGAGGAAUAUUGGUCAAUGGGCGGGAGCCUGAACCAGCCAAGUCGCGUGAAGGAAGAAGGAUCUAUGGUUCGUAAACUUCUUUUGCAGGGGAAUAAAGUGCAGGACGUGUCCUGUUUUGUAUGUACCCUGAGAAUAAGGAUCGGCUAACUCCGUGCCAGCAGCCGCGGUAAUACGGAGGAUCCGAGCGUUAUCCGGAUUUAUUGGGUUUAAAGGGUGCGGAGGUGGAUUGAUAAGUCAGCGGUGAAAGUUUGCAGCUUAACUGUAAAAAUGCCGUUGAAACUGUCGGACUUGAGUGUAAAUGAGGUAGGCGGAAUGCGUGGUGUAGCGGUGAAAUGCAUAGAUAUCACGCAGAACUCCGAUUGCGAAGGCAGCUUACUAAGCUACAACUGACACUGAAGCACGAAAGCGUGGGGAUCAAACAGGAUUAGAAACCCCAGUAGUCC
RNAcentral lists this ribosomal RNA (445 nucleotides) under uncultured bacterium. Its description in RNAcentral is "partial 16S ribosomal RNA". It matches the Rfam family "Bacterial small subunit ribosomal RNA", at positions 354 to 796 of the family's 1533-position model. The record is from RNAcentral.